AUGAACGCUGGCGGCGUGCCUCAUACAUGCAAGUCGAGCGAACGGACGAGAAGCUUGCUUCUCUGAUGUUAGCGGCGGACGGGUGAGUAACACGUGGAUAACCUACCUAUAAGACUGGGAUAACUUCGGGAAACCGGAGCUAAUACCGGAUAAUAUCUUGAACCGCAUGGUUCAAAAGUGAAAGACGGUCUUGCUGUCACUUAUAGAUGGAUCCGCGCUGCAUUAGCUAGUUGGUAAGGUAACGGCUUACCAAGGCAACGAUGCAUAGCCGACCUGAGAGGGUGAUCGGCCACACUGGAACUGAGACACGGUCCAGACUCCUACGGGAGGCAGCAGUAGGGAAUCUUCCGCAAUGGGCGAAAGCCUGACGGAGCAACGCCGCGUGAGUGAUGAAGGUCUUCGGAUCGUAAAACUCUGUUAUUAGGGAAGAACAUAUGUGUAAGUAACUGUGCACAUCUUGACGGUACCUAAUCAGAAAGCCACGGCUAACUACGUG
This 496-nucleotide ribosomal RNA is filed under the name uncultured bacterium. RNAcentral describes it as "partial 16S ribosomal RNA". It matches the Rfam family "Bacterial small subunit ribosomal RNA", at positions 29 to 507 of the family's 1533-position model. The record is from RNAcentral.